CCUACGGGUGGCAGCAGUGAGGAAUAUUGGUCAAUGGACGAGAGUCUGAACCAGCCAAGUAGCGUGAAGGAUGACUGCCCUAUGGGUUGUAAACUUCUUUUAUAUGGGAAUAAAACGUUCCACGUGUGGGAUUUUGUAUGUACCAUAUGAAUAAGGAUCGGCUAACUCCGUGCCAGCAGCCGCGGUAAUACGGAGGAUCCGAGCGUUAUCCGGAUUUAUUGGGUUUAAAGGGAGCGUAGGUGGAUUGUUAAGUCAGUUGUGAAAGUUUGCGGCUCAACCGUAAAAUUGCAGUUGAAACUGGCAGUCUUGAGUACAGGAGAGGUGGGCGGAAUUCGUGGUGUAGCGGUGAAAUGCGUAGAUAUCACGAAGAACUCCGAUGGCGAAGGCAGUUCACUGGACUGCAACUGACACUGAGGCUCGAAAGUGUGGGUAUCAAACAGGAUUAGAUACCCUAGUAGUC
RNAcentral lists this ribosomal RNA (460 nucleotides) under uncultured bacterium. RNAcentral describes it as "partial 16S ribosomal RNA". It matches the Rfam family "Bacterial small subunit ribosomal RNA", at positions 338 to 795 of the family's 1533-position model. The record is from RNAcentral.